RNAcentral lists this transfer RNA (84 nucleotides) under Chloroflexota bacterium. RNAcentral's name for it is "Chloroflexi bacterium tRNA-Ala". It matches the Rfam family "tRNA". Rfam says of the family: Transfer RNA (tRNA) molecules are approximately 80 nucleotides in length. Their secondary structure includes four short double-helical elements and three loops (D, anti-codon, and T loops). Further hydrogen bonds mediate the characteristic L-shaped molecular structure. tRNAs have two regions of fundamental functional importance: the anti-codon, which is responsible for specific mRNA codon recognition, and the 3' end, to which the tRNAs corresponding amino acid is attached (by aminoacyl-tRNA synthetases). tRNAs cope with the degeneracy of the genetic code in two manners: having more than one tRNA (with a specific anti-codon) for a particular amino acid; and 'wobble' base-pairing, i.e. permitting non-standard base-pairing at the 3rd anti-codon position. The record is from RNAcentral. RNAcentral also lists the same sequence under 1 other name. Lineage: Bacteria; Bacillati; Chloroflexota.
GGGGGCGUGGCGAAACUGGCAAACGCGGCGGCCUAGCAAGCCGCUUCCUACCCUGGAUUGCGGGUUCGAGUCCCGCCGUCCCCA